GUUCGGUUGUCACGCCAGUGGCACUGCCCGGUAGCUAAGUUCGGAAUCGAUAACCGCUGAAAGCAUCUAAGCGGGAAGCGAGCCCUGAGAUGAGUCAUCCCUGACCCCUUGAGGGUCCUAAAGGGCCGUUGGAGACCACAACGUUGAUAGGUGGGGUGUGUAAGCGCAGUGAUGUGUUGAGCUAACCCAUACUAAUUACCCGUGAGGCUUAACCAUACAACACCCAAGAAGUGUUCUG
Molecule: ribosomal RNA, 238 nt
Filed under: Aeromonas salmonicida subsp. salmonicida
Lineage: Bacteria; Pseudomonadati; Pseudomonadota; Gammaproteobacteria; Aeromonadales; Aeromonadaceae
Description: partial 23S ribosomal RNA
Rfam family: Bacterial large subunit ribosomal RNA
Source: RNAcentral